RNAcentral lists this transfer RNA (77 nucleotides) under Oligoflexia bacterium. Its description in RNAcentral is "tRNA-Arg". It matches the Rfam family "tRNA". Rfam says of the family: Transfer RNA (tRNA) molecules are approximately 80 nucleotides in length. Their secondary structure includes four short double-helical elements and three loops (D, anti-codon, and T loops). The record is from RNAcentral. Lineage: Bacteria; Pseudomonadati; Bdellovibrionota; Oligoflexia.
GCACCGGUAGCUCAGCUGGAUAGAGCGACUGCCUUCUAAGCCGUAGGUCGCAGGUUCGAAUCCUGUCCGGUGUACCA